AUUGAACGCUGGCGGCAGGCCUAACACAUGCAAGUCGAGCGGAUGAAGGGAGCUUGCUCCUGGAUUCAUCGGCGGACGGGUGAGUAAUGCCUAGGAAUCUGCCUGUUAGUGGGGGAUAACGUCCGGAAACGGGCGCUAAUACCGCAUACGUCCUGAGGGAGAAAGUGGGGGAUCUUCGGACCUCACGCUAUCAGAUGAGCCUAGGUCGGAUUAGCUAGUUGGUGGGGUAAAGGCCUACCAAGGCGACGAUCCGUAACUGGUCUGAGAGGAUGAUCAGUCACACUGGAACUGAGACACGGUCCAGACUCCUACGGGAGGCAGCAGUGGGGAAUAUUGGACAAUGGGCGAAAGCCUGAUCCAGCCAUGCCGCGUGUGUGAAGAAGGUCUUCGGAUUGUAAAGCACUUUAAGUUGGGAGGAAGGGAAGUAAGUUAAUACCUUGCUGUUUUGACGUUACCAACAAAAUAAGCACCGGCUAACUUCGUG
RNAcentral lists this ribosomal RNA (484 nucleotides) under uncultured bacterium. RNAcentral's name for it is "partial 16S ribosomal RNA". It matches the Rfam family "Bacterial small subunit ribosomal RNA", at positions 30 to 507 of the family's 1533-position model. The record is from RNAcentral.